GCUGGGUGUGGUGGUGCAUGCCUGUAAUCCCAGCUACUCGGGAGGCUGAGGCAGAAGAAUUGCUUGAGCCUGGGAGAUGGAGGUUGCAGUGAGCCGAAAUUAUGCCACUGCACUCCAGCCUGGCCAACAGAGCAAGACUCUGUCUCAA
Molecule: non-coding RNA, 148 nt
Filed under: Gorilla gorilla gorilla (western lowland gorilla)
Lineage: Eukaryota; Metazoa; Chordata; Mammalia; Primates; Hominidae
Source: Rfam by way of RNAcentral